This 834-nucleotide ribosomal RNA is filed under the name Triticum aestivum (bread wheat). RNAcentral's name for it is "partial small subunit ribosomal RNA". The record is from RNAcentral. Lineage: Eukaryota; Viridiplantae; Streptophyta; Magnoliopsida; Poales; Poaceae.
AUGCAUGUUGGUACGAUUAUGGAAUCAAAUGAUGCAACUUUCUUUGAGGACAUAUUUCUUAUGAAGGAUAUGUCGAGUUCAUCAAAUCAGGAGAUACCUACUCCAUCUAGUGAGGAAUUCACUGUAAUUCCUGAACCCACCAUUGCGAUGGAACACAUUGAGAAUCCUGUUGAGGGUAACAAUAUAACUCCUGUGAGAAGUAAGAGACAGAGGGCUGCAAAGUCUUUUGGUGAUGAUUUCAUUGUGUACCUCGUGGAUGACACACCCAGGACUAUUUCAGAAGCCUAUGCAUCUCCUGAUGCUGACUACUGGAAGGAAGUUGUACGUAGUGAGAUGGAUUCCAUCUUAGCUAACGGUACCUGGGAGAUCACUGACCGUCCAUAUGGGUGCAAACCUGUAGGAUGUAAGUGGGUGUUCAAGAAGAAGCUUAGACCUGAUGGUACGAUUGAAAAGUACAAGGCAUGGCUUGUGGCCAAGGGUUAUACCCAGAAAGAAGGUGAAGACUUCUUUUAUACUUACUCACCCGUGGCUAGACUAACCAUUCGGGUGCUACUAUCACUGGCUGCCUCACAUGGUCUUCUCGUUCAUCAAAUGGACGUUAAGAUGGCUUUCCUUAAUGGAGAGUUGAAGGAGGAAAUUUACAUGGAUCAGCCAGAUGGUUUUGUAGUACCUGGUCAGGAAGGAAAGGUGUGCAAGUUAUUAAAGUCUUUAUAUGGCCUUAAACAAGCUCCUAAGGAGUGGCAUGAGAAGUUUGAAAGAACAUUAACUACUGCCGGCUUUGUAGUAAACGAUGGUGACAAGUGCGUGUACUAUCGCUAUGGUGGGGGCGAAUGA